AGAGUUUGAUCAUGGCUCAGAUUGAACGCCGGAGGAGGGCUUAACACAUGCAAGUCGAUCGGUAACAGGUGUAUCAAUACAUGCUGACGAGAGGCGGACGGGUGAGGAAUGUUUGGGAAUCUGCCCAUCAGCGGGGGACAACCCGGGGAAACCCGGGCUAAUACCGCAUACGCUCUACGGAGGAAAGCCGGGGACCGCAAGGCCUGGCACUGAUGGAUGAGCCCAAAUCGGAUUAGCUAGUUGGCGGGGUAACGGCCCACCAAGGCGACGAUCCGUAGCUGGUCUGAGAGGACGAUCAGCCACACCGGAACUGAGACACGGUCCGGACUCCUACGGGAGGCAGCAGUGGGGAAUAUUGGACAAUGGGGGAAACCCUGAUCCAGCGACGCCGCGUGGGUGAAGAAGGCCUGCGGGUUGUAAAGCCCUUUCGGUAGGGACGAAAGCUCUUGCUCUAACAAAGCAGGAGGUUGACUUAACCUACAUAAGAAGCACCGGCUAACUCUGUGCCAGCAGCCGCGGUAAUACAGAGGGUGCGAGCGUUAAUCGGAAUUACUGGGCGUAAAGCGCACGUAGUCGGCUUGCCAAGUCGGGUGUGAAAUCCCCGGGCUCAACCUGGGAACUGCAUCCGAAACUGGCUUGCUAGAGUAUGGGAGAGGGAGGCGGGAAUUUCUGGUGUAGCAGUGAAAUGCGUAGAUAUCAG
RNAcentral lists this ribosomal RNA (700 nucleotides) under uncultured bacterium. Its description in RNAcentral is "bacterial SSU rRNA". It matches the Rfam family "Bacterial small subunit ribosomal RNA", at positions 8 to 700 of the family's 1533-position model. The record is from RNAcentral.